AGCAGCUGCGCCACCGGCUCAGCCUCGCGGCGGGGGAAACCCGAGCUCCCAACAAAACGGUUCCAUCUUUGGCUAGGCCUUUGAUGUUAUGUGGUCAACAGGGACUGAGGCUCUUUAAGCCCUUAAAUCUCUAAGGGCUAAAUCUCCUUCCUGAUAUUCGCCCCCAAACCGGCACCAAAGAAGGCCCAGAGAGGUUUAACAACUUCCUCAGAAUCACACAGCUUCCAAAUGGUUGGGUUGGGUUUACAUUUAGGCGGUCUUGCUCCAGAGCCAGUGCUCCUAACCUUUGCAAGCCACGAACCUCAAGAAAGUGGAGAAGGAAACGCUGGGAAAUCUGGAAGUCAGACAUGGCAACCUAGUUUAUCUCCCGGGAGCUGACUUCAUUUCUAAACGUAUAGGGGUUUCUUAGAGGAGCUUCAGAAUACUAAUCAUCGCUAGUGAGGGCACUUGGACACUUUGCU
This 461-nucleotide long non-coding RNA is filed under the name Homo sapiens (human). RNAcentral's name for it is "long intergenic non-protein coding RNA 2028". The record is from RNAcentral. Lineage: Eukaryota; Metazoa; Chordata; Mammalia; Primates; Hominidae.